UAGGCAUGCAGUCGUGCGAUUUUCGCAAGAAAUAGCGGCAAACGGGUGAGUAACACGUAAGCAAUCUUCCUUAAAGACGGACAUAGCAUCGUGAAAACGGCGGUAAUUUCCGAUAUGUCCUAUUGAUCGCAUGAUCGAUAGGGUAAAGGUGGGGACCGAAAGGCCUAUCGCUUUAGGAUGAGCUUGCGUCCUAUCAGCUAGUUGGUAGGGUAAUGGCCUACCAAGGCAUUUGACGGGUAGCCGGCCUGAGAGGGUGUCCGGCCACACUGGGACUGAGACACUGCCCAGACUCCUACGGGAGGCUGCAGUCGAGAAUCUUUAGCAAUGGACGAAAGUCCGACUAUGCGACGCCGCGUGCAGGAUGAAGGUUUUCGGAUUGUAAACUGCUUUUGUUAGGAAAGAAACCUUUGAAGAUAAUAUCUUCAAAGCUGACGGUACCUGACGAAUAAGCCACGGCCAACUCCGUGCCAGCAGCCGCGGUAAUACGGAGGUGGCGAGCGUUACUCGGGAUUAUUGGGUGUAAAGGGCAAGUAGGCGGUUUGUUAAGUGAGGGGUGAAAUCUAUCGGUUCAAUCGGUAAAUUGCCUUUCAAACUGAUAAGCUUGAGGAUGUAAGAGGGAAAUGGAAUUAGCAGUGUAAGGGUGAAAUCUGUAGAUAUUGCUAAGAACACCAGCGGCGAAAGCGAUUUCCUGGUACAAUCCUGACGCUAAAUUGCGAAAGCUAGGGGAGCGAACGGAAUUAGAUACUCCCGGUAGUCCUAGCUGUAA
This 766-nucleotide ribosomal RNA is filed under the name uncultured bacterium. RNAcentral describes it as "bacterial SSU rRNA". It matches the Rfam family "Bacterial small subunit ribosomal RNA", at positions 50 to 805 of the family's 1533-position model. The record is from RNAcentral.